GCCAAAGUCAGAGGUGGACCUCUCUCCCCCGCGGCGCACGUUAGCCCCUCUCCAUCUCUCCCAAGCGGUGGUGCCCUCCUCAUCCACCCACGUCACAAAUUCAGCCGCACAUCCCUCCCCACUUUAACAACAACCAUGCCCCUUUCCCUCCACCACACCCAACCCAAUCAACCUUCUCACUCUCUUCUCCUCUCCCCCUUAUCCUCCGCCCCCCUCCUCCCUAUCCUUCACCCACCCCCUUAACCUAAUCAACACUACCUUUCUUUUCCUCUUCUCCGCCAUGGCUUCCCCAUCUUCCCCCACUGAUUCCAACCCCCCCUCCGCGGUUCCUCUCCCUCUCCCCGCCCCUCCCUCCACCUCCUCCCGCCGCCUCCCCCCGCCCUGCUGGACCCCGGAGGAAACCGCCGCCCUCAUCGACGCCUACCGCGACAAGUGGUACUCCCUCGGCCGCACCAACCUCAAAGCCACCCACUGGCAAGAGGUCGCCGACGCCGUCACCGCCCAGUGCCCCAACGCUUCCCCCACUGCCAAAACUGCCGUCCAGUGCCGCCACAAAAUGGAAAAACUCCGCAAACGGUACCGCACCGAAAUCCAACGCCUCCGCUCCCUCCCCCUCCCUCGCCUCAUCAACAACUCCACCACCGCUUCGCCCUCCUCCUGGGUCCACUUCAAAUCCAUGGACUCCAUGGAAAAAGGCCCCAACAAACCCCACACCGACACCACCACCGCCACCAACCCCAGCACCCCCUCCAACAACCUCAACUUCCCAGACGACGACAACGACGACGAUCUGUACGAGGAAUUCAAGAACGCCCCCGGAUCCAACACGCGCAGCCUCAACAAACUCUACAAGAACGGUUUCGGAUCCGGCUCCGGC
Molecule: long non-coding RNA, 877 nt
Filed under: Phaseolus vulgaris (common bean)
Lineage: Eukaryota; Viridiplantae; Streptophyta; Magnoliopsida; Fabales; Fabaceae
Description: long non-coding RNA (PVUL_LNC001417)
Source: RNAcentral